RNAcentral lists this ribosomal RNA (360 nucleotides) under uncultured bacterium. RNAcentral's name for it is "bacterial SSU rRNA". It matches the Rfam family "Bacterial small subunit ribosomal RNA", at positions 917 to 1271 of the family's 1533-position model. The record is from RNAcentral.
GGGCUCACACAAGCGGUGGAGGAUGUGGCUUAAUUCGAGGCUACGCGAAGAACCUUAUCCUAGUCUUGACAUGCUUGGAUUAACCCCAUGAAAGUGGGGCCACGCCUUCGGGUGGAACAAGCACAGGUGCUGCAUGGCUGUCGUCAGCUCGUGUCGUGAGAUGUCGCGUUAAGUCGCUUAACGAGCGAAACCCUUGUCACUAGUUGCCAGCACGUAAUGGUGGGGACUCUAGUGAGACCGCCGGCGUUAAGCCGGAGGAAGGUGGGGAUGACGUCAAGUCCUCAUGGCCCUUAUGACUAGGGCUACACACGUGCUACAAUGGGGAAUACAGACGGACGCUAAGCCGCGAGGUGGUGCUAA